CUGCGCUGCACCAAAGGCCGGAGCAGGUGAUCCAAUGGUCCCUUCCAACCUUACCACCUACGGGGGGGGUGUCAGCGGUUGCCGGGGAAGGAGAGAUUAAUUGUCUGAGUGAGAGGACCACUCGGUGAUGCGCUGUCCCUGACCUAAUUUGGGAGCCCACAGGAAACGCUGACCCCAAAAGCUGCUCCAGCCUCAACGUGUCUGAAAUGCCUCUUGCUCCUGUGUCUCUGCCGCUGCGGAUGGAGGAUCCACUGCUGGGGUGAGGAUGGCCAUUGGCAAUGUACAAAAUGGGUUUGCGGAGAGAAGCUGGAUUGGGGUGUUUCCAGCAGCUGGAGGAGCAGAUUCCUGAGGAUUGCAAGCUAGAGAGAGAAGAAAUCGCAGGUGUUUAGGGAACCCAAUGACACCUGGUCCCCAGGAGACAGACAGAGCAGAAGCCCUCGCUAGAACCACUGCUCCCCAUCCCCACGCAGACACGCCCCCGGUGCUCUAAGAGCCAGAGGCCGAUUCC
Molecule: long non-coding RNA, 508 nt
Organism: Chelonoidis abingdonii (Abingdon island giant tortoise)
Lineage: Eukaryota; Metazoa; Chordata; Testudines; Testudinidae
Source: RefSeq, a predicted model, not a curated record